UAGAUCUCGUACGUGACCUGCGGAGGGACAUUACACAAAUAUGAAGGCGGGCUGGAACCUCUCGGGGUUACAGCCUUGCUGAAUUAUUCACCCUUGUCUUUUGCGUACUUCUUGUUUCCUUGGUGGGUUCGCCCACCACUAGGACAAACAUAAACCUUUUGUAAUUGCAAUCAGCGUCAGUAACAAAUUAAUAAUUACAACUUUCAACAACGGAUCUCUUGGUUCUGGCAUCGAUGAAGAACGCAGCGAAAUGCGAUAAGUAGUGUGAAUUGCAGAAUUCAGUGAAUCAUCGAAUCUUUGAACGCACAUUGCGCCCUUUGGUAUUCCAAAGGGCAUGCCUGUUCGAGCGUCAUUUGUACCCUCAAGCUUUGCUUGGUGUUGGGCGUCUUGUCUCUAGCUUUGCUGGAGACUCGCCUUAAAGUAAUUGGCAGCCGGCCUACUGGUUUCGGAGCGCAGCACAAGUCGCACUCUCUAUCAGCAAAGGUCUAGCAUCCAUUAAGCCUUUUUUUCAACUUUUGACCUCGGAUCAGGUAGGGAUACCCGCUGAACUUAA
This 553-nucleotide ribosomal RNA is filed under the name Alternaria alternata. RNAcentral's name for it is "eukaryotic LSU rRNA". The stretch from base 199 to 352 matches the Rfam family "5.8S ribosomal RNA". The record is from RNAcentral. Lineage: Eukaryota; Fungi; Ascomycota; Dothideomycetes; Pleosporales; Pleosporaceae.